Molecule: long non-coding RNA, 797 nt
Filed under: Gouania willdenowi (blunt-snouted clingfish)
Lineage: Eukaryota; Metazoa; Chordata; Actinopteri; Blenniiformes; Gobiesocidae
Description: lncRNA (ENSGWIG00000011545.1)
Source: RNAcentral
CCAACGGGUCAGCAAGUGAAUGGAUGGAAGCAACAGCUGCAGCAUAUGUGAAGGUGGAACCACGAAGGAACGACUUUAAAUCUAACGGAAAGCUUGCAAGGAGUUUCAAGAAAAUUCCACUCUUGUGCAAGAAGAGGAAAACUGGGAAAGUGAAAUCCAAGAUGUCAUCAUCCCUGACUGGAAGAAAAUGCAUUUUGGAGAUUCACCAUAUGUUCCAGACGAUCUGCUCCAUUUUUCCAUGCGAGGUUUGACGCUGAACCCCCAGGAUUUGAUCUUUCAGAAAGUCGGUUAUCGGCCAGCAAAGCACCACCCUGACCCCAUUCAUUGGCAUUAUUACAGCAGGUCUAGUGAGCCAGGACAGUUUGCUGAUGCACAGGAAGAGUAAGCACAUUUUUGAUUAUUGUGUAAAGUGGUUAGUUGACCUUUAACAAUCAUCAAAAGUCACAGAUCAAAGCAAAAGGGUUUUUGUAGUUUGGAGUUUUUUAGUUUGUUUUCCAAUCGUGUUUUUCCAAUCUGCUUUAGUCGACAGCUACACCUCAGCAGGCAUUUCUCCUGUCUGUCCUGUGUAUCGAGUUUCCUGGAAUUAUGAACAGCUCAGUUUUAAAAAAGUUCUUUAGCAUUUUGCUGUUUUAUGUUUUAUGACAAAUUUUAUUGCCUAGAAAUUUUUACCAGUUUAAGGCAACCAAAAAAAACCCAAACACCUUAAUAUAUUGUUUACAAAGCUGAUUUCACUCGUUAGCCAGUCGUUUGUGCCCUUUUUGUUUGCACAUCAACAAUAAAAGCACUUUUUACCAACC